CAGUCGCCACGGUAAUACGUAGGUCCCGAGCGUUGUCCGGAUUUAUUGGGCGUAAAGCGAGCGCAGGCGGUUAGAUAAGUCUGAAGUUAAAGGCUGUGGCUUAACCAUAGUACGCUUUGGAAACUGUUUAACUUGAGUGCAAGAGGGGAGAGUGGAAUUCCAUGUGUAGCGGUGAAAUGCGUAGAUAUAUGGAGGAACACCGGUGGCGAAGGCGACUCUCUGGUCUGUAACUGACGCUGAGGAGCGAAAGCGUGGGGAGCGAACAGGAUUAGAUACCCGAGUAGUCCCUGUCUCUUAUACA
Molecule: ribosomal RNA, 301 nt
Filed under: uncultured bacterium
Lineage: Bacteria
Description: partial 16S ribosomal RNA
Rfam family: Bacterial small subunit ribosomal RNA
Source: RNAcentral